CGAGUAUUAGGGUGCUCCGGCGCUCUUUACACACCCACCCUUUGCCUAUGUGUACCCUUUAUCGCUUCCUCGGCGGGCUCGCCCGCCGGCAGGAACCAAGCAAACCCCUUGCAUUCUACGCGAAAACUUCUGAUAACCACCUAAAUGAAUCA
Molecule: unclassified non-coding RNA, 152 nt
Filed under: uncultured Periconia
Lineage: Eukaryota; Fungi; Ascomycota; Sordariomycetes; Microascales; Halosphaeriaceae
Description: sequence contains ITS1
Source: RNAcentral